GACCUUCUUAAGAAACUGUGCGUAGUUAGUGGGAUAUUACGUGCAUCCAGUGGUUAUAUCCCGUGUUAGAGGCUGUAUUUGACUAAUUUCCCUUGUUUAUUUGUUGUCCAAAAUUAUUUGACUUGUGUUAUCAUUUUUAUAUUAAUAUAAAGUCGUGGGAAAAAACUCAAUAAACACCCAUCUAAGCAAAAGGGGGUUGUUGAAGCCUUGAAAUAAGUAACAUUAUUAUUUCCUUCACUCAAAUGCAAGAUUAAAGAAGAAAAAGCUGAGAGAAUGGAAGGCUUGGUCCCAAUGGUGUUGAAGAUGUUCAAGAAGAGGAGCGAGACUCGCCGGGAAUGCAAUUCUCUCUCGGCUCCUGCAACUCAUAGUUACAAUAUAGUGGACUUCUAUCCUAAUGGUUACAACUUCCAGUAUGGGAGAGUACCGAGGCAACAACAGGAUCAAAGGAUUGAUGAUGGUUUUCGUGCUGAAACUAAGUUUAGCCAACGACGAAACAAGUCUUUUAAUCAUGUUGGUUAUGCUGCUGGUGGCCGAUAUUCCCCUCUGGAUUCUGUCAAGUCCUGUAAACAACUUGUGAGUCAGCGAAGAAUGUUCUCAUGUAUCACUGGUGCCUAAAACUUUGUCCCUCCCUCCCCCACCCCCCGGCCUUCAUGUCAUGUCUCCCGGCCUUCAUGUUCUCAUGAAAUCUGAUACUCGUUCAUUGCCAAUGAAGUUUCCCUGGGAAGAAUAAGGACCUGAACUUGUAAUCUUCAUGCUUAGUCUCAAUACCAAAGAUGAAGCAGAUUCCAUGGCAUUUGUUCCAUCAUCAUCAGCUGAACUCAUAGGGGAAGACUGUUCUUAUUCUUCCUGAUUCACACAACUUUUAGCUUCCUGUAAGCAGAUAGUUCCUUCAUAUAUCUACAGCUUGCAAAUAAUUGGAAAGGGUAAUAAUAUAUCUAAGAAGUGACUCCCAAUCUACUCUCAUUUUCCAUCAUGUUUUCCUUAUGUAAAAAACUGAUAAAAUUAAGUAGUAUUCGUAUCAGAUGUGCUUGACUAGACACUGUCCGAAUCCAUCUAUCUUACCGAUUAUUGGAUCUUCACAUACAGCAUAAUGCAAAUUCAAAUUUUUUGUUAUUCUUUUUAGCAGAAAUAGAAAAGCAUUCAUUAUAAUCCAAAAUUCAUACUUGAACUACAUGUGGAUGGGAGAUUAAGUUCAAAUCAUUCAAGAAUGCAGCAACUUCUACUGUACAAAUAUCGGUUGCUUAUUUUGUAACCAAACUUCAAUUUAUAAAAAUUCUUUGGACAAAUAUAUGCAGCAUUUGCUACAUUUUCUUUCACAUGUUAUAUAGAUCCUACAUGCUAUCAGAUAGAAGGAGUCUACACAAAAAUCAUAAACCCUUUUCUUCCAGGCUGAGGAAAGCAGAAGAUUUUAAAAACAAGAAAUAAAAAAAUUACAAAAACUACUUGCACAACACCUAGAAUCAAGAUUGAAAGAUUGCACUAGAAGUAGUACUUAUCAAAAAAAAAAAAACUGCACUUGCAACAAUAAUUAAGAAUCACUACCGGCAGAAGAAGAAAAUCUCAUACGCUGGUCCGAUCUAAAUAAUAAAAUGCAGGGUCAAUAGACAAAGUUCGGAAUCUAGUUGCUGUUAAAAUAUAUCGAUGGUUCAAUGUGGAGUGAUGAAUGUGUUUGCUGAUGAUCAUCUAACCAUAAUAAUUCUGCAGAAAGUGAGGAAAAUGAAGAAAAAGAUGAUUAGAUGACCAUCAACAAAACAUAUUCAUCAUCAUAUCUGCAUAAAACACACACAAAAGGUCUUAAACUCCAGCAAAGUCAUACUACUAAAGGACAAACACCCAUAAUAGGACGGUUUGUAUUAUAAGUCUUGCAAGUAUAUACUCUGGAAUAUUUCUCCAAGAUAAGCAUAUUCUUUGGGAAUAAACCUCCAGUUGGACUCCUUAUAAUGGUUGGUGAGAAAUGAAUGAGUGUUCAUUUUGAAUUUGAAGAGUGAAAAACUUACCAACACAUAAAUGGUGAAUACUGUGAGAGAUGGUGAUAAAGAGACUGGGUAAGAGAGAUAGAGACUGUAAUGGACUAUAAUAAUG
Molecule: long non-coding RNA, 2082 nt
Filed under: Panax ginseng (ginseng)
Lineage: Eukaryota; Viridiplantae; Streptophyta; Magnoliopsida; Apiales; Araliaceae
Description: long non-coding RNA (PGIN_LNC007111)
Source: RNAcentral